RNAcentral lists this long non-coding RNA (1146 nucleotides) under Capra hircus (goat). Its description in RNAcentral is "lncRNA (ENSCHIG00000006957.1)". Lineage: Eukaryota; Metazoa; Chordata; Mammalia; Artiodactyla; Bovidae. The record is from RNAcentral.
CCUUAGGCAGAUUUUGACCUUUCAGAGUCUCAGCUUCCUCAUCUGAGACUCCUAGGGGGAGUCACACCUCGCCCCAGAGGUGUGGGGUAAAUGUGUUGUGCUGACGUGUGAACACGCAGGUGUGUCACGGAACAGAGAUGAAAGCUAAAAUGCUCCUUUUCUUUUCUUUUCCUUCCUUUCGUUCACUGAUCUCUUUGGCAAUCGCAUUCCACAAUUCUCAGUUCUUCACUCACCACUUAGGCUCCUUCUGUGCAAAAAGGACUUAGUGAAGUUAAAAGCAUAAAAAACUGUCAUUAAAAUGGAAGGAAAAUGAAAAAAACUACCAUAUUAUCUUCUUUAAAGCAAUACAAAAUAGACUAAAUAUUAAUGUAGUGCGGGGUCAAUCAUUUACUUUAAAACGGCUUUCUGAAAUUCAGUUGCUCUUUCUUUUAAUAAACAGUUGAAUUUCUAUAUUGAAAUUGUGAUGUGUGCAAAGGGAACAAUUCAUGCGAAUACUGGAGUUCGAGAGACAUCACCAUAUUCAUGAAAAUUUGGUGUCAAACAAACCCGAAGAAGUCAUCUACAUAAACCUGGCAAAUAAUUGUCAGGCUAUCUUUUCAUACUCACCAAUCACUCUACUUGGACCAACUUCAAGGGCUGAAAAGCUUUGUUUACGAUCCUGGUUCUAAUGACACCAAAUUAUCUAUAAAGUUUGGUAGCCACUAAACGUGGUUUUUGAGCACUUGAAAUGUGGCUAGUCCAAAUUAAGAAGUAAGUAUAAUAUACACAUUGAGUUUUGAAGAUGUAGAUUAAGAAAGAACAUAAAUUAUCUCUAAUUUUUAUAUUGGUACAGGUUAAAAUGGUUAUUUUUGAUAUACUGGGUAAAUAAAACGUAUCAUUAAAAUAGAUUUCAUAUUUCUUUAACGUUUUUAGUGUUGGCUACUGGUGUUUUAAAAGUUAGAAAUGUUCCUCACAUUGUAUUUUUGUUGAAUAGUGUUGCCCUAGCCAUUGGUCUCUCUUAAGCAUCAGACUUAGCCCAAAACCUGAAAUACAAUGUGUUAAUGAAUAUACUGAAUAAGUAAAUAUGUGUGUAAAACAAAAACUUCUGAUAAAUUAGAAUACAUCUCACAAGAAUUAUACAGGAAUUUUGUUAAAAUUUUCUUGAGA